RNAcentral lists this ribosomal RNA (377 nucleotides) under uncultured bacterium. Its description in RNAcentral is "bacterial SSU rRNA". It matches the Rfam family "Bacterial small subunit ribosomal RNA", at positions 523 to 898 of the family's 1533-position model. The record is from RNAcentral.
AUACGUAGGGGGCGAGCGUUGUCCGGAAUUACUGGGCGUAAAGGGUGCGUAGGCGGAUGUUUAAGUGAGAUGUGAAAUCCCCGGGCUUAACCUGGAGGCUGCAUUUCAAACUGGAUAUCUAGAGUGCAGGAGAGGAGAAUGGAAUUCCUAGUGUAGCGGUGAAAUGCGUAGAGAUUAGGAAGAACACCAGUGGCGAAGGCGAUUCUCUGGACUGUAACUGACGCUGAGGCACGAAAGCGUGGGUAGCAAACAGGAUUAGAUACCCUGGUAGUCCACGCCGUAAACGAUGAGUACUAGGUGUAGGAGGUAUCGACCCCUUCUGUGCCGCAGUUAAUACAAUAAGUACUCCGCCUGGGAAGUACGAUCGCAAGAUUAAA